GCCGAUGUAGCCUAAUCUGGUAAGGCAACGGUCUCGAAAACCGUUUCCGAAAGGAAUUGUAGGUUCAAAUCCUGCCAUCGGCG
RNAcentral lists this transfer RNA (83 nucleotides) under Nanobdellota archaeon. Its description in RNAcentral is "tRNA-Ser". It matches the Rfam family "tRNA". Rfam says of the family: Transfer RNA (tRNA) molecules are approximately 80 nucleotides in length. Their secondary structure includes four short double-helical elements and three loops (D, anti-codon, and T loops). Further hydrogen bonds mediate the characteristic L-shaped molecular structure. tRNAs have two regions of fundamental functional importance: the anti-codon, which is responsible for specific mRNA codon recognition, and the 3' end, to which the tRNAs corresponding amino acid is attached (by aminoacyl-tRNA synthetases). tRNAs cope with the degeneracy of the genetic code in two manners: having more than one tRNA (with a specific anti-codon) for a particular amino acid; and 'wobble' base-pairing, i.e. permitting non-standard base-pairing at the 3rd anti-codon position. The record is from RNAcentral. RNAcentral also lists the same sequence under 1 other name. Lineage: Archaea; Nanobdellati; Nanobdellota.